GAAAGACAGACUGAAACAAAAAACCUCCCCCCUAUUUCAAGUCCAACACUACCAGUUAAACACGCACGCGCGCUAUAAAACGGAGGAACCCUGGUUUCCUCCGAAACAUCUGUCAAUCAAAUCAGUUGAGUCAAGACUUCCAAGCGUGCGGACGUGUUUCACGGAGCUCCCGACAAACCAGAAAAUGAUUCGAGCUACAGUGCAAACCUAUCCAAGUGCACAAAGUUUGGAGCCCAAGUUCCGAGCUUGCAUCUCCUCAAACCACUUCUCAUACUACUACCAGCUCUCCACUACCAGUACACAUGUUAAUAUUUGUUUAUUGUAAAUACCUGGAUUAGGCAUGAUCAAGUGUGCUUUACAUGCACAGACUAAUCUAUGCAGUUUACAAUAGAAACACAAUAGAAAAGAAUGUGAAUUAGUAUGUAACCACUGUACCUGAAGAUUUUCCCCAAAUAUACUGUAAUCCAGUGUAAAUAAAAGCAUGAAUACAUUAAUAAAAA
This is a long non-coding RNA of Nematostella vectensis (starlet sea anemone), 500 nucleotides long. RefSeq lists it as uncharacterized. The transcript has 2 exons. Lineage: Eukaryota; Metazoa; Cnidaria; Anthozoa; Actiniaria; Edwardsiidae. The record is from RefSeq and is a predicted model, not a curated record.